UCGCUGGGACUUCACGGGCG
This 20-nucleotide unclassified non-coding RNA is filed under the name Mus musculus (house mouse). RNAcentral's name for it is "oocyte_clustered_small_RNA8504". Lineage: Eukaryota; Metazoa; Chordata; Mammalia; Rodentia; Muridae. The record is from RNAcentral.